GUGUCAGCCGCCGCGGUAAUACGUAGGGGGCAAGCGUUGUCCGGAUUUACUGGGUGUAAAGGGUGCUCAGGUGGUCUUGCAAGUCAGAGGUGAAAGCCCAGGGCUUAACUCUGGAACUGCCUUUGAUACUGCAAGGCUUGAGUACGGAAGAGGUUGAUGGAAUUUCUGGUGUAGCAGUGAAAUGCGUAGAUAUCAGAAAGAACACCAGUGGCGAAGGCGGUCAACUGGUCCGUUACUGACACUAAAGCACGAAAGCGUGGGGAGCAAACAGGAUUAGAAACCCUCGUAGUCC
RNAcentral lists this ribosomal RNA (292 nucleotides) under uncultured bacterium. RNAcentral describes it as "partial 16S ribosomal RNA". It matches the Rfam family "Bacterial small subunit ribosomal RNA", at positions 505 to 796 of the family's 1533-position model. The record is from RNAcentral.